Arachis ipaensis is the source of this 363-nucleotide non-coding RNA. The record is from RefSeq and is a predicted model, not a curated record. Lineage: Eukaryota; Viridiplantae; Streptophyta; Magnoliopsida; Fabales; Fabaceae.
GAAUCUAUGGAGAACUGAUCGCUACUCGCUCAGAGGUAAAAGGAUGCAGAUGGCUAGGAUUUCACCUUAUGUUAGGAAUUAAUAAUCCUGAGUUUGUUCGAGGCAGUAAACUGGAGUUGUUUGUUAGGAAUCAGAGGAGGUGAUUUCUAUUUUUAGCUGCAGGUUGGUAUGAUUACUCCAUUAUGCUUUAGAAUUUACUUUGCUAUUUUAUUUGGAAAAAAGGAAAAAGUUAUGAAAGCUUGAUUUGAGAAAGAAUUAGUUAUAUGCACUUCUCGACAAAAUGGCCUUUGCCACUGUGUGAUGUUUAUGCUGAACUAAGUUGUAUAUAGCAACUUAAAUUUGGUUCUUUAACUGUUUUUGAAA